Molecule: ribosomal RNA, 442 nt
Filed under: uncultured bacterium
Lineage: Bacteria
Description: partial 16S ribosomal RNA
Rfam family: Bacterial small subunit ribosomal RNA
Source: RNAcentral
CCUACGGGUGGCAGCAGUGGGGAAUAUUGCGCAAUGGGGGCAACCCUGACGCAGCAACGCCGCGUGAUUGAAGAAGGCCUUCGGGUUGUAAAGAUCUUUAAUCAGGGACGAAAAAUGACGGUACCUGAAGAAUAAGCUCCGGCUAACUACGUGCCAGCAGCCGCGGUAAUACGUAGGGAGCAAGCGUUGUUCGGAAUGACUGGGCGUAAAGGGUGCGUAGGCGGUUGUACAAGUUAGAGGUGAAAUACCCAGGGCUUAACUCGGGUGCUGCUUCUAAAACUGUAUGACUUGAGUGCAGUAGAGGUUAGUGGAAUUCCUAGUGUAGCGGUGGAAUGCGUAGAUAUUAGGAGGAACACCAGAGGCGAAGGCGGCUAACUGGACUGCAACUGACGCUGAGGCACGAAAGUGUGGGGAGCAAACAGGAUUAGAUACCCUAGUAGUC